CAAAAAACGGAAAUUAGAAAUACCAGUUCACCCACGGGAUGUUUUUUUUUUGUCUCCACUUGGUCCGUUUUUGUGGUGCUCGUCAUUUAUCAUGUCCUACUGAACUGGAAAAGGUGUGAGUGGUUGCCCUAGAGGAAGUCUGGAGAGACGGGCGGACGAUGCAUCUCUGCUCGCCGCCACCAUGGAACUGGACCUAAAGCGCUCUCCUGCAAAGAGCAGCGUGAGUGGGCGGGACAAAGGCAUGCGGGGUCAGAAAGGUUACUGGUCAGAAAGACUGCCAUUGGUCCGCUCUGACCUCCUGUGACUGAUUCACUGCGGCUGAAUAUUAGGACCUGGAUGCUGUCAGGUCGAGACUCUCGGCCUGCCGCUCUGUGCAGCCGCCUGGACUCGGACAUCAUGGAAGACCCCUUCG
Molecule: long non-coding RNA, 412 nt
Organism: Gasterosteus aculeatus aculeatus (three-spined stickleback)
Lineage: Eukaryota; Metazoa; Chordata; Actinopteri; Perciformes; Gasterosteidae
Source: Ensembl